RNAcentral lists this transfer RNA (73 nucleotides) under Clonostachys rosea. RNAcentral describes it as "Bionectria ochroleuca tRNA". It matches the Rfam family "tRNA". Rfam says of the family: Transfer RNA (tRNA) molecules are approximately 80 nucleotides in length. Their secondary structure includes four short double-helical elements and three loops (D, anti-codon, and T loops). Lineage: Eukaryota; Fungi; Ascomycota; Sordariomycetes; Hypocreales; Bionectriaceae. RNAcentral also lists the same sequence under 5 other names. The record is from Rfam by way of RNAcentral.
GCUUGAGUGGCGCAGCGGCUAGCGCGUGGGAUUGCAGAUCCUAAGGUCAUCAGUUCAAAUCUGGUUUCAAGCU